Dalotia coriaria is the source of this 2433-nucleotide long non-coding RNA. RefSeq lists it as uncharacterized. The record is from RefSeq and is a predicted model, not a curated record. Lineage: Eukaryota; Metazoa; Arthropoda; Insecta; Coleoptera; Staphylinidae. The transcript has 4 exons.
ACCUGUAUUGUCAAUUAUGCCAUCCAUGCAGCUCGCGUGAAGAGCACACACAGAUCCGCAACGAAAACAGUCGUAAAACUCGGAAUUGACUCGUAAAAACUACAAUACAAACGACAACACAACACUUCAGCUACUUGCAGCUGUAAACCCAUCAUUGGGGUCGUAAAAAAUCAAAGUUUUUCCAAAAUUCUGCCAUGUGAAUAACGGAGAAUACCCGAGGUCAGCAGCGCUGAGCAGUAAAAAGGAGACAGUAACAAUGGGACAUUAUGGAAGGGGAUCAACGAGCGCACCAAUGGCAAUUGGAUCCGUCACGGCGCCCACUAAAAGCUAUGCGCGAGAGAUCCGAAGUGUGCCGCUUCACAUCGUUUCCACACACAUUCGGGCACCCCACUCCGUGCAGUGGUCUCACUCGCUCCGAGCCGCAGCAGGAAUUACUGCGAGUGCGGCACACGUCUAGCGCCCUCUUUGGUACAAUCGCCCAACUCCAAGACCUCAGAAGAGCGUCGUCGUCCAAACGAGCAACAUCAUGGGCCCACAAUCGCGAUCGCAAACGUUUAUGAACCUGCGCGCAGGAAUAUGCCCGCCCAAAAUUGCCCAUUGAACUUAAAUUUCUGUAAUUCAACGCCGCAAAACCGCCUUGGCGAAUGGAAAUGAUUUCAUCACAUCACUUGAAUCCCUGCAACUGAAUUGUUUAGACGUUUGCUCGCAUUAGCAGAAUUCCACAAUGUGGCGAUAAAAUUAACCAGCAAUAAAAAUAAAGCCGCGUGCACGGCACACGGUCGUGAGGUCGUUCCGCGGCCCGUCUUAAAGGUGUCUUGUAAAUGUUUACACAAAUGAAUCGAAAUGCCUGCGCCGCGGCUCAUAAAGUGAGGUAGUGAACAAGACAAUAAAAUAAUCGUAAAAUGAAAUAUAAAACGCCAAUAAAAAGCCAAAGAAACGACUUCAUUUAAUACGCAUAAAACUGCUCCGGCUCGAGGAUGACUGGAGCGCGCGCGCGCGGCUCACGAUAAUGUCGGGAUUAUUAACUGCCAUUUAACAAGGUCGUAAAAAGAUUUCGAUGUGUCUUUUCUGUGUAUGUGCGGGUUUUGAAUGUGUCGUAAAUUAUUCGGAAUGACGGCGAGCAAACAGUCUCAAGUCCAUCGCUGAAUUUGACAUUUUCUAGACAUUUGGUAGACAUUUUACAACAUUUUAUAGCAACCAGAAAGUUACCAGAGCAAAAUUUUGACAUCUAUUGCGGCUUUUCAGUGCUUUAACUACUGUUGAUGCUAAGUGACGUUUAUGACCACUUGAGAUGGUUGUAAAAAUAAGCUUAAUGAUCAAUUAAAGAAAUUGAAUACAUAAUGACCGAAGUUAAGAGCCAUAACUAAUCAAAUUGACAGUGGACCAAAGCGGGUACCACCCACAUUCAGUAAAUUUGAUAUUUCAAGCGCCAUGUUCAAUUUUAAUGAUCAAGAUCAAUAUACAUUUGUGGGUUAUGGUUAUUUAUACUGCAGAACAUGUUGAUACUACCGGGUGACAUUUACGAUCACUUAAAACGGCACUAAAAAUCUCACUUACAACAUGAAAUCAUAGUGUGGCUUGCCGCACAGUAGCAAUAAAAUGUAUUACCUUCCCUUUUUCGUUCUGGUUUCAGUUACUCACAAGAGCGCCGCUAAAAGUCACAAAUUUUAGCAACAAUGCAUGGGAAUUUUAGAAGAUCUUCCAUCUUGAGCUUCGGGGAGAUACCUGCACGUCACAUGAUAUGGGGUCGGUCACAUAACUGCCAUUACAAGCACUACCAUAACUGCAACCAUCGCCCCAACUGGUUCGACGCACCAUUACGGACUACUCAAUUGGUUACGGCAUAUUUUAUUGACUUUUUAAAAAGGGAGCUCGGUGAAAAGAUUGAGAGGAUUCUGUGGUAUUCUCUACUCCCAGGAUAAACUAGUAACCGACAUAAAAUUGAAACAAAAUGGGGGAUAUAAAUAGAUACAGGAAAUUUAUGCGAUUAUAUUCAAGAUUUUCAUGGAUGAUGGGAUGAGUGUUAAGGGUAGUGGCGCCUCUCAUGGAAGAAUAGCAGAAGUUGGACACGCAGGCGUUGGAAACGAGCGGGGUCGGAUCGUUCGCCGGGCGCAAGCCCGAUGAGGACUGGUUCUGCGCGCAGGCCGUGAAGCAACGCGCACCGAAUGCGCGGAAAAACAUUUACAAUCAAUACAAUGGUAGUUUUAUGGUCAAUAAGAAGUCGUUGGCGCACGCUGCGAACGACCAACGGAACGAGCCACCGAAAUCGUUUCGCCGCCGCGCAAACGCCCCACGUUCCACCAACACCACCAGGCUACAAAUUCUAAAAUAGAAAAACUUUAUAUUGUAACAAAAUAACACAUAUCUAUAUCUAAGUAUUAAGUAUAACUAGCUUGAAGAAAAGUAGUAGGUAAUAAUAAUGUAUGAUGAAAA